CCCUUAGACGUUCUGGGCCGCACGCGCGCUACACUGACCAGUGCAACAAGCAUCCGUCCUUGGCCGACAGGCUCGGGCAAUCUUUGAACGCUGGUCGUGAUGGGGAUAGACUUUUGCAAUUUUUGGUCUUCAACGAGGAAUUCCUAGUAAACGCAAGUCAUCAACUUGCAUUGAUUACGUCCCUGCCCUUUGUACACACCGCCCGUCGCACCUACCGGUUGAAUGGUCCGGUGAAGCCUCCGGAUUGGCGCGCACCUCGGUGCCGCCGAGAAGUUGGCUAAACCUUACCAUUUAGAGGAAGGUGAAGUCGUAACA
RNAcentral lists this ribosomal RNA (315 nucleotides) under uncultured eukaryote. RNAcentral's name for it is "partial 18S ribosomal RNA". It matches the Rfam family "Eukaryotic small subunit ribosomal RNA", at positions 1470 to 1796 of the family's 1831-position model. The record is from RNAcentral.